GGGCCUGUGGUCUAGUGGCUAUCCAAUAAGGGACCAUAAAUGACAUCUCCUCGACAUGGAGGGAAUCGCCGGUUCGAGUCCGGCCAGGCCCA
This 92-nucleotide transfer RNA is filed under the name Nanobdellota archaeon. Its description in RNAcentral is "tRNA-Val". It matches the Rfam family "tRNA". From Rfam's summary of the family: Transfer RNA (tRNA) molecules are approximately 80 nucleotides in length. Their secondary structure includes four short double-helical elements and three loops (D, anti-codon, and T loops). Further hydrogen bonds mediate the characteristic L-shaped molecular structure. tRNAs have two regions of fundamental functional importance: the anti-codon, which is responsible for specific mRNA codon recognition, and the 3' end, to which the tRNAs corresponding amino acid is attached (by aminoacyl-tRNA synthetases). tRNAs cope with the degeneracy of the genetic code in two manners: having more than one tRNA (with a specific anti-codon) for a particular amino acid; and 'wobble' base-pairing, i.e. permitting non-standard base-pairing at the 3rd anti-codon position. The record is from RNAcentral. Lineage: Archaea; Nanobdellati; Nanobdellota.